Long non-coding RNA from Rhinopithecus roxellana (golden snub-nosed monkey), 567 nucleotides. RefSeq lists it as uncharacterized. NCBI's taxonomy places the organism in Eukaryota, Metazoa, Chordata, Mammalia, Primates, Cercopithecidae. The record is from RefSeq and is a predicted model, not a curated record. The transcript has 3 exons.
UGGGGCGUGGAGGACAACUAACUAGGCUGACCUGUAAAAGCAGAGGAAAUUGGAACUUGGAAAGUUCUGAAGAAGGACUGCUUAGCGUGCCUCUUUAGUCAACAUGAAAAAGAAGAAAAGAACAAGCAACUGAAGGAUCCUCUGAUGGCCUCGAGGCAGUGGAUUGAGAAUAUCUCUUAAGUACAAGGAAGUAUUCUAGACCCUGCAACUGAUGGAUCAGCUGGCACCACCAAGGUCGAUGAACUGGCUCAUCUGAUCUUGUGGCCCCCACCUAGGAACUAAGCACAAGAAGCAUCUCUGACUUGACCAAUCAGCAUGCCUGUCUCAUUGGCUUCCCCCCACCCACCAAGUUGUCCUUAAAAACCCUGAUCCCCCGAACCCAUGGGGAGACUGAUUUGAAUGAUAAUAAGAGUCCAGUUUCCUGCACAGCUGGCUCUGCAUGAAUUAUUCUUUCUCUAUUGCAAUUCCCCUGUCUUGAUAAAUUGGCUCUGUCUAGGCAGUGGGCAAGGUGAACACAUUGGGCCAUUACACUUGUGAUAAGAUAAAAAAAAAUCAUGUCUUUAUGCU